This is a long non-coding RNA of Alosa sapidissima (American shad), 111 nucleotides long. RefSeq lists it as uncharacterized. The transcript is spliced from 3 exons. The record is from RefSeq and is a predicted model, not a curated record. Lineage: Eukaryota; Metazoa; Chordata; Actinopteri; Clupeiformes; Clupeidae.
AAAGUUUGACUGAAGCUAAAGGUGUUUGAGUCGUGACUCACUCGGAUCUUUCACCCGUGUCUUUAAAUUAACCCAUGAGUCGCGAGUCUCUAGUAUCAUUAACUCGGAUCA